GGUGUCGUAGCCAACGCGUUAAGUGUUCCGCCUGGGGAGUACGCACGCAAGUGUGAAACUCAAAGGAAUUGGCGGGGGCCCGCACAAGCGGUGGAGUAUGUGGUUUAAUUCGAUGCAACGCGAAGAACCUUACCAGGCCUUGACAUCCUCGGAACUUUCUAGAGAUAGAUUGGUGCCUUCGGGAACCGGGUGACAGGUGCUGCAUGGCUGUCGUCAGCUCGUGUCGUGAGAUGUUGGGUUAAGUCCCGUAACGAGCGCAACCCUUGUCCUUAGUUGCCAGCACGUAAUGGUGGGAACUCUAAGGAGACUGCCGGUGACAAA
RNAcentral lists this ribosomal RNA (321 nucleotides) under Ctenophora environmental sample. RNAcentral describes it as "partial Bacterial small subunit ribosomal RNA". It matches the Rfam family "Bacterial small subunit ribosomal RNA", at positions 842 to 1162 of the family's 1533-position model. Lineage: Eukaryota; Metazoa; Ctenophora. The record is from RNAcentral.